CCUACGGGAGGCAGCAGUAGGGAAUCUUUCACAAUGGGCGAAAGCCUGAUGGAGCAACGCCGCGUGCAUGAUGAAGGCCUUCGGGUUGUAAACUGCUUUUAUAAGCGCGCAAUAUGAUGAUAACUUAUGACUAAGGAUCGGCGAACUACGUGCCAGCAGCCGCGGUCAUACGUAGGAUCCGAGCAUUAUCCGGAGUGACUGGGUGUAGAGAGUUGCGUAGGUGGCAUAAUAAGUAGCUAGGGAAAUCUGGUGGCUCAACCAUUCAGACUAUUAGCUAAACUGUUAAGCUCGAGACCGUUAGGGGUAACUGGAAUUUCUAGUGUAGGAGUGAAAGCCGUAGAGAUUAGAAGGAACACCAAUAGCGUAGGCAGGUUGCUGGGACAGUUCUGACACUAAGGUACGAAAGCGUAGGGAGCAAACGGGAUUAGAUACCCGGGUAGUC
Molecule: ribosomal RNA, 442 nt
Filed under: uncultured bacterium
Lineage: Bacteria
Description: partial 16S ribosomal RNA
Rfam family: Bacterial small subunit ribosomal RNA
Source: RNAcentral